Small nuclear RNA from Physeter macrocephalus (sperm whale), 107 nucleotides. Lineage: Eukaryota; Metazoa; Chordata; Mammalia; Artiodactyla; Physeteridae. The record is from Ensembl.
GAGCUCGCUUCAGCAGCACAUAUACUAAAAUUGGAACGAUAGAGAGAAGAUUAUCAUGGCUGCCGCACAAAAAUGACACACAAAUUCGUAAAGCAUUCCAUAUUUUU